Bison bison bison is the source of this 53-nucleotide microRNA precursor. NCBI's taxonomy places the organism in Eukaryota, Metazoa, Chordata, Mammalia, Artiodactyla, Bovidae. The record is from Ensembl.
CCCAGGGAUGUAGCUCCUAGUGCUGACCCUCCCUCUGGGGGCCCAUCCCUGCA